Xylaria sp. FL0933 is the source of this 107-nucleotide non-coding RNA. The record is from the annotation of a GenBank genome assembly. Lineage: Eukaryota; Fungi; Ascomycota; Sordariomycetes; Xylariales; Xylariaceae.
GCACCAGUGGAGUAGUAGUUAACUCGUUUCCCUCCCAUCUAAAUCGUGAUUGUACUAUCAUGAGGGCGAGGAAGGAAAGGACCCGGGUGCAAAUCCCGGCUGGUGCA